UGAGGUUUCCUUCUUGUUACCCAGGCUGGAGUGCAAUGGCGUGAUCUUGGCUCACCGCAACCUCCACCUCCCAGAUUCGAGUGAUUCUCCUGCCUCAGCCUCCCAAAUAGCUAGGAUUACAGGCAUGUACCACCAUGCCCAGCUAAUUUUGUAUUUUUAUUAGAGACAGGGUUUCUCCAUGUUGGUCAGGCUGGUAUCGAACUCCCGACCUCAGGUGAUCCUCCCACCUCGGCCUCCCAAAGUGCUGGGAUUACAGGCGUGAGCCACCACGCCCAGCAUAAUAUUUUUAAAUUAUUCCUGAUCCCAUAGGUCCCAUUCAGCUACCUCCUGAAGGCACUUAUGGCUGACAAAGUAGGCAAUUAUCAUUUACAGAAAUGUGGCUGGACUGCAGGCCUGGAGCCGAUUAGCCU
RNAcentral lists this long non-coding RNA (410 nucleotides) under Homo sapiens (human). RNAcentral's name for it is "non-protein coding lnc-CDKAL1-5:1". The record is from RNAcentral. Lineage: Eukaryota; Metazoa; Chordata; Mammalia; Primates; Hominidae.